This 253-nucleotide ribosomal RNA is filed under the name uncultured bacterium. RNAcentral's name for it is "partial 16S ribosomal RNA". It matches the Rfam family "Bacterial small subunit ribosomal RNA", at positions 524 to 776 of the family's 1533-position model. The record is from RNAcentral.
UACGUAGGUGGCAAGCGUUGUCCGGAUUUACUGGGCGUAAAGAGCGCGCAGGCGGUCGUUCAAGUCGCGUGUGAAAGCCCCCGGCUCAACUGGGGAGGGUCACGCGAUACUGAUCGACUCGAAGGCAGGAGAGGGUAGUGGAAUUCCCGGUGUAGUGGUGAAAUGCGUAGAUAUCUGGAAGAACACCAAUGGCGAAGGCAACCUCCUGGGCCUGAAUUGACACUGAGACACGAAAGCGUGGGGAUCAAACAGG